CCUACGGGAGGCAGCAGUGGGGAAUAUUGGACAAUGGGCGAAAGCCUGAUCCAGCCAUGCCGCGUGUGUGAAGAAGGCCUUCGGGUUGUAAAGCACUUUCAGUGGGGAAGAAAGCCUUGGGGCUAAUACCCUCGAGGAAGGACAUCACCCACAGAAGAAGCACCGGCUAACUCCGUGCCAGCAGCCGCGGUAAUACGGAGGGUGCGAGCGUUAAUCGGAAUUACUGGGCGUAAAGCGCGCGUAGGCGGUCUGAUAAGCCGGUUGUGAAAGCCCCGGGCUCAACCUGGGAACGGCAUCCGGAACUGUCAGGCUAGAGUGCAGGAGAGGAAGGUACAAUUCCCGGUGUAGCGGUGAAAUGCGUAGAGAUCGGGAGGAAUACCAGUGGCGAAGGCGGCCUUCUGGACUGACACUGACGCUGAGGUGCGAAAGCGUGGGUAGCAAACAGGAUUAGAUACCCCAGUAGUC
This 465-nucleotide ribosomal RNA is filed under the name Vreelandella stevensii. RNAcentral describes it as "partial 16S ribosomal RNA". It matches the Rfam family "Bacterial small subunit ribosomal RNA", at positions 338 to 795 of the family's 1533-position model. Lineage: Bacteria; Pseudomonadati; Pseudomonadota; Gammaproteobacteria; Oceanospirillales; Halomonadaceae. The record is from RNAcentral.